RNAcentral lists this ribosomal RNA (425 nucleotides) under uncultured bacterium. RNAcentral's name for it is "bacterial SSU rRNA". It matches the Rfam family "Bacterial small subunit ribosomal RNA", at positions 356 to 773 of the family's 1533-position model. The record is from RNAcentral.
GGGGAAUAUUGGACAAUGGGCGAAAGCCUGAUCCAGCCAUGCCGCGUGUGUGAAGAAGGUCUUCGGAUUGUAAAGCACUUUAAGUUGGGAGGAAGGGCAGUAAGUUAAUACCUUGCUGUUUUGACGUUACCGACAGAAUAAGCACCGGCUAACUCUGUGCCAGCAGCCGCGGUAAUACAGAGGGUGCAAGCGUUAAUCGGAAUUACUGGGCGUAAAGCGCGCGUAGGUGGUUUGUUAAGUUGGAUGUGAAAGCCCCGGGCUCAACCUGGGAACUGCAUCCAAAACUGGCAAGCUAGAGUACGGUAGAGGGUGGUGGAAUUUCCUGUGUAGCGGUGAAAUGCGUAGAUAUAGGAAGGAACACCAGUGGCGAAGGCGACCACCUGGACUGAUACUGACACUGAGGUGCGAAAGCGUGGGGAGCAAAC